CUGCGCUGGAAAUGUGCAGCAAGUUGGAAAAACUCACCCGCGGAUCUUUUCUCGACUCUUCACACUUUGAGCGUGCGGCGCCUCGAAGCUUCCUGAGCGGACUCGACCCGACCAGGGCACCGUUUGGCGGCUGUAGCUCCUCGAAACGGACAGCCACAAAGCACAAAGGCUCCACAAGAGAACUUGGUACACUUUGCAAAUGAUACAAAGCAUCCUCACUCACCUCCUGAAUGGUCCGGAGCAGGGGAGCGGCAGGGCGUGGACGGCCCAGGAGAGAGACUCUGCGUGGGGGAACCAGAGAGGCUGUCGCUAGAAGACUGGUGGAAUCCUGAGGAGAAGCUACGACUGCUCUGCAUGGGCGGAGGCGGCGUGUGCUUCGACAGCUUCUUCAGGAUGCUACGUCGUCUGCUGCAAAUGACAAAAGAUUGGUCUACCUGGAGUGAUGAUGAGAGAGAGGCCAGAGACAGAGGCAGACUUGGGGACUUUGCCAGCUGGGGAUCGGGGUUUCUCUGGAGUUUCCAGCUGGUGAGCAAUCCGUCGAGAUGCCCCUCUCCUGAAUGACGGCCUAGUCCCUGUGCUGUUGCUCCGGAGACGAAUGCGCCGCAGAGAUGGCAAAGUGAGGCAUGAUGUCAAGGCUCUGGGUGCUGUUCAUCACCAGCGGGCUGGCACUGCGCUCGGACUGGGAGGAACUGGAUGAAGCACGGGGACGAAGACUGCAAAGGAGAAAAA
Platichthys flesus (European flounder) is the source of this 729-nucleotide long non-coding RNA. RefSeq lists it as uncharacterized. The transcript has 4 exons. The record is from RefSeq and is a predicted model, not a curated record. Lineage: Eukaryota; Metazoa; Chordata; Actinopteri; Pleuronectiformes; Pleuronectidae.